GCCCGCCUAGCUCAAUCGGAUAGAGCGUCAGACUCUUACAAGAGAGGCGGGAUACAGAACCACUUCGAAGGUAUCUGAAGGCUGCGAGUUCGACCCUCGCGGUGGGCU
This is a non-coding RNA of Crassisporium funariophilum, 108 nucleotides long. The record is from the annotation of a GenBank genome assembly. Lineage: Eukaryota; Fungi; Basidiomycota; Agaricomycetes; Agaricales; Crassisporiaceae.